UAGCACCAUCUGAAAUCGGUUA
This 22-nucleotide non-coding RNA is filed under the name Xenopus tropicalis (tropical clawed frog). The record is from RNAcentral. RNAcentral also lists the same sequence under 22 other names. Lineage: Eukaryota; Metazoa; Chordata; Amphibia; Anura; Pipidae.